GGCAGAGGUGCCGAGCGUUAGGCGGAAUCACUGGGCUUAAAGCGUGUGUAGGCGGAUCGUUAAGUACCUUGUGAAAUCCCACGGCUCAACCGUGGAACUGCUGGGUAUACUGGCGGUCUUGAGCCACCUAGGGGCGAGCGGAACAAGCGGUGGAGCGGUGAAAUGCGUAGAUAUCGCUUGGAACGCCAACGGUGAAAACAGCUCGCUGGGGGUGUGCUGACGCUGAGACACGAAAGCCAGGGGAGCGAACGGG
Molecule: ribosomal RNA, 253 nt
Filed under: uncultured bacterium
Lineage: Bacteria
Description: partial 16S ribosomal RNA
Rfam family: Bacterial small subunit ribosomal RNA
Source: RNAcentral